AAAUUGAAGAGUUUGAUCAUGGCUCAGAUUGAACGCUGGCGGCAGGCCUAACACAUGCAAGUCGAACGGUAACAGGAAGCAGCUUGCUGCUUUGCUGACGAGUGGCGGACGGGUGAGUAAUGUCUGGGAAACUGCCUGAUGGAGGGGGAUAACUACUGGAAACGGUGGCUAAUACCGCAUAACGUCGCAAGACCAAAGAGGGGGACCUUCGGGCCUCUUGCCAUCAGAUGUGCCCAGAUGGGAUUAGCUUGUUGGUGAGGUAACGGCUCACCAAGGCGACGAUCCCUAGCUGGUCUGAGAGGAUGACCAGCCACACUGGAACUGAGACACGGUCCAGACUCCUACGGGAGGCAGCAGUGGGGAAUAUUGCACAAUGGGCGCAAGCCUGAUGCAGCCAUGCCGCGUGUAUGAAGAAGGCCUUCGGGUUGUAAAGUACUUUCAGCGGGGAGGAAGGUGUUGCGGUUAAUAACCGCAGCAAUUGACGUUACCCGCAGAAGAAGCACCGGCUAACUCCGUGCCAGCAGCCGCGGUAAUACGGAGGGUGCAAGCGUUAAUCGGAAUUACUGGGCGUAAAGCGCACGCAGGCGGUCUGUCAAGUCGGAUGUGAAAUCCCCGGGCUCAACCUGGGAACUGCAUUCGAAACUGGCAGGCUUGAGUCUUGUAGAGGGGGGUAGAAUUCCAGGUGUAGCGGUGAAAUGCGUAGAGAUCUGGAGGAAUACCGGUGGCGAAGGCGGCCCCCUGGACAAAGACUGACGCUCAGGUGCGAAAGCGUGGGGAGCAAACAGGAUUAGAUACCCUGGUAGUCCACGCCGUAAACGAUGUCUACUUGGAGGUUGUGCCCUUGAGGCGUGGCUUCCGGAGCUAACGCGUUAAGUAGACCGCCUGGGGAGUACGGCCGCAAGGUUAAAACUCAAAUGAAUUGACGGGGGCCCGCACAAGCGGUGGAGCAUGUGGUUUAAUUCGAUGCAACGCGAAGAACCUUACCUGGUCUUGACAUCCACAGAACUUUCCAGAGAUGGAUUGGUGCCUUCGGGAACUGUGAGACAGGUGCUGCAUGGCUGUCGUCAGCUCGUGUUGUGAAAUGUUGGGUUAAGUCCCGCAACGAGCGCAACCCUUAUCCUUUGUUGCCAGCGGUUAGGCCGGGAACUCAAAGGAGACUGCCAGUGAUAAACUGGAGGAAGGUGGGGAUGACGUCAAGUCAUCAUGGCCCUUACGACCAGGGCUACACACGUGCUACAAUGGCGCAUACAAAGAGAAGCGACCUCGCGAGAGCAAGCGGACCUCAUAAAGUGCGUCGUAGUCCGGAUUGGAGUCUGCAACUCGACUCCAUGAAGUCGGAAUCGCUAGUAAUCGUGGAUCAGAAUGCCACGGUGAAUACGUUCCCGGGCCUUGUACACACCGCCCGUCACACCAUGGGAGUGGGUUGCAAAAGAAGUAGGUAGCUUAACCUUCGGGAGGGCGCUUACCACUUUGUGAUUCAUGACUGGGGUGAAGUCGUAACAAGGUAACCGUAGGGGAACCUGCGGUUGGAUCACCUCCUUACCUUAAAGAAGC
Molecule: ribosomal RNA, 1554 nt
Filed under: Salmonella enterica
Lineage: Bacteria; Pseudomonadati; Pseudomonadota; Gammaproteobacteria; Enterobacterales; Enterobacteriaceae
Description: bacterial SSU rRNA
Rfam family: Bacterial small subunit ribosomal RNA
Source: RNAcentral